RNAcentral lists this transfer RNA (71 nucleotides) under Rhizobium sp. ERR 1071. Its description in RNAcentral is "Rhizobium sp. ERR1071 tRNA-Thr". It matches the Rfam family "tRNA". From Rfam's summary of the family: Transfer RNA (tRNA) molecules are approximately 80 nucleotides in length. Lineage: Bacteria; Pseudomonadati; Pseudomonadota; Alphaproteobacteria; Hyphomicrobiales; Rhizobiaceae. The record is from RNAcentral.
GCCGACAUGGCGUAACGGUAGCGUCACCGCAUUGUAGGCGGUGGGUGCAUGUUCAAAUCAUGCUGUCGGCU